GUGCCCUCAAGUCUACUCACGACUGGGGUGCUGUGAGAAGCUGAAAAGUCCUCGACUUUGUGUAAUUAAAUGUUGGGAAUGUUAAAAGAUGAAUAAGGAAUGGCUGAAAGGACACAUUUAAUUACCUACCAGAUUAAGGAGAAAAAUUCUGGAAAGCAGAGUAAAAUCUGCUUGUAGGAAUUAUUUUUACCUUUAUACUCAAGAGUUAAUGGACAAAAUAUAGGAAUGGUCUCAAGAAAGGAAAACAAAACUGGACUUUUCAAAGUGCCUCAGACUUGCUGGACAUGUACAGGGCUACUUUCUUGGAGGCACAGAGCUGGCUUGACACACUCAGUGCCAGAUCAGCUGUGUGUUGAUAGUGCCUUGUGGACUUAAAAAUCAGACUGGACGUUAGUUGCACUUGCCUGGUCCAUGUAUGGCUUUCUGGGCCUGUCCUGCAAGUGACACAAGUGACAGUGUCCCUGCCAACCCAUUGCUGUGACUGGAUUACAUCUCUUGUGGAUCUGCUCAUGGUCCUGGAGAUACUUUACUGUU
Molecule: long non-coding RNA, 534 nt
Organism: Vidua chalybeata
Lineage: Eukaryota; Metazoa; Chordata; Aves; Passeriformes; Viduidae
Exons: 4
Source: RefSeq, a predicted model, not a curated record